CCUACGGGGGGCUGCAGUGGGGAAUAUUGCACAAUGGGCGCAAGCCUGAUGCAGCCAUGCCGCGUGUGUGAAGAAGGCCUUCGGGUUGUAAAGCACUUUCAGCGGGGAGGAAGGCGUUAAGGUUAAUAACCUUGUCGAUUGACGUUACCCGCAGAAGAAGCACCGGCUAACUCCGUGCCAGCAGCCGCGGUAAUACGGAGGGUGCAAGCGUUAAUCGGAAUUACUGGGCGUAAAGCGCACGCAGGCGGUCUGUCAAGUCGGAUGUGAAAUCCCCGGGCUCAACCUGGGAACUGCAUUCGAAACUGGCAGGCUAGAGUCUUGUAGAGGGGGGUAGAAUUCCAGGUGUAGCGGUGAAAUGCGUAGAGAUCUGGAGGAAUACCAGUGGCGAAGGCGGCCCCCUGGACAAAGACUGACGCUCAGGUGCGAAAGCGUGGGGAGCAAACAGGAUUAGAUACCCUAGUAGUC
Molecule: ribosomal RNA, 465 nt
Filed under: uncultured Klebsiella sp.
Lineage: Bacteria; Pseudomonadati; Pseudomonadota; Gammaproteobacteria; Enterobacterales; Enterobacteriaceae
Description: bacterial SSU rRNA
Rfam family: Bacterial small subunit ribosomal RNA
Source: RNAcentral